CGGGCCUGGUGAGAAUGGCUGAGGCGUGGGUGUCAGAGGGUGUGCCCCUGUGGUUCCUGUCCGAGUAGUGUUCACGCAUGCCCAGUGGUGGCCACUGGGGUCACGGCCCCUCUACCCGCCCCAGGCGCGCGGGAAUGGGACAGGAGCCAGUCACUGCCUUUCUGUCUUUCCUCCUCUCUCCGCAGCCCGGGUCAACCAGCCGACGGUGGCGGAACGGCGGGCAGGUCGGCGGAGUUAGAUGGCCGCAAAGGUGGGCAGGCUCGGUGUGAUAAGGUUCCAACUGGGUCUGAUCGCUUCCGUCCGCGAGCGCCGGGUCCACCAAAUGUCGGCGGCGAGCGCUGGCUUUGAUGGUUAACUUGGGAUUUCUAAGUAUUCUGUGGACAGUCGAGGGCUGGAAAAAAAACAGAAACAUGAAUUUGAUUGGUUUCACAAGAGACAUGGCAGACCAAAGAACAUACGAUGAGUACUUUGCUAAAUGCCCUGUUUAUUCUCCCAACCGGGCUCAUAAAAGUACGGACACAUUUGGUGGGUUGAGAGAUCUCUAUGUAGUCGUGACCCUGUAAUUAUACUUGACGAGAGCGGUGAUGACAGACAGGCGGCACAGAAAUCUGCCCUUCUUUGGUGCCAAUUGAGCAUGGUGACAACAGAUUAAAAAUGGCCUAUGUCUCAAGUUGAAGGUCCUGUUUUUCUGCUCUGGUCUUUAGGAAUGAGUGGAGCCUUCCCGUGCUCUGCCAUUUUCUUGCAUUUUUCUUUUCACAUACAUUCAUUCACUUAUUUAUUAAUUAAUUUAUUUUAAAUAGAGUCUCGUUCUGUA
Molecule: long non-coding RNA, 814 nt
Filed under: Homo sapiens (human)
Lineage: Eukaryota; Metazoa; Chordata; Mammalia; Primates; Hominidae
Description: HSALNT0367616
Source: RNAcentral